RNAcentral lists this ribosomal RNA (428 nucleotides) under uncultured bacterium. RNAcentral's name for it is "partial 16S ribosomal RNA". It matches the Rfam family "Bacterial small subunit ribosomal RNA", at positions 354 to 796 of the family's 1533-position model. The record is from RNAcentral.
GUGGGGAAUAUUGGGCAAUGGGCGAAAGCCUGACCCAGCAACGCCGCGUGAGGGAAGAAGGCCUUCGGGUUGUAAACCUCUGUCCUUGGUGACGAAGAAAGUGACGGUAGCCAAGGAGGAAGCCCCGGCUAACUACGUGCCAGCAGCCGCGGUAAUACGUAGGGGGCGAGCGUUGUCCGGAAUUACUGGGCGUAAAGGGUGCGUAGGUGGCCUUUUAAGUUGGAUGUGAAAUACCCGGGCUUAACUUGGGGGGUGCAUCUAAUACUGGGAGGCUAGAGUGCAGGAGAGGGAAGCGGAAUUCCUAGUGUAGCGGUGAAAUGCGUAGAUAUUAGGAGGAACACCAGUGGCGAAGGCGGCUUUCUGGACUGUAACUGACACUGAGGCACGAAAGCGUGGGGAGCAAACAGGAUUAGAUACCCUUGUAGUCC